Molecule: ribosomal RNA, 576 nt
Filed under: Websdanea lyginiae
Lineage: Eukaryota; Fungi; Basidiomycota; Ustilaginomycetes; Ustilaginales; Ustilaginaceae
Description: LSU rRNA
Rfam family: Eukaryotic large subunit ribosomal RNA
Source: RNAcentral
CCUAGUAACGGCGAGUGAAGAGGGAUGAGCCCAAGAUGAAAAGCUGGCGUGCAUUCGUGCGUCCGCAUUGUAAUCUCGAGAAGCGUUUUCCGCGCCGGACCAAGUCCAAGUCCUUUGGAAAAGGGCAUCAUAGAGGGUGAAAAUCCCGUUUAUGACUUGGAGCGACCGGGGCUUUGUGAUACGCUUUCCAAGAGUCGGGUUGUUUGGGAAUGCAGCUCAAAAUGGGUGGUAAAUGCCAUCUAAGGCUAAAUAUUGGGGAGAGACCGAUAGCGAACAAGUACCGUGAGGGAAAGAUGAAAAGAACUUUGAAAAGAGAGUUAAACAGUACGUGAAAUUGCCAGAAGGGAAGGGUAUAAAGUCAGCUUUGUUGGGCAGGAUUCAGCCUUGCCUCGGCUUGGUGUAUUUCCUGUCGAACAGGCCAACGUCGGUUUUGAAGGCUGGAGAAGGGCAAGAGGAAUGUGGCACUCUUUUCGGAGAGUGUGUUUAUAGCCUCUUGCUGGAUACAGUCUUUGGGACCGAGGAACGCAGCGCACUCUUCGGAGCGGGCCUUCGGGCACCUUUGCGCUUAGGACGUUG